Molecule: ribosomal RNA, 460 nt
Filed under: uncultured bacterium
Lineage: Bacteria
Description: partial 16S ribosomal RNA
Rfam family: Bacterial small subunit ribosomal RNA
Source: RNAcentral
CCUACGGGAGGCAGCAGUGAGGAAUAUUGGUCAAUGGACGGAAGUCUGAACCAGCCAUGCCGCGUGCAGGAAGACGGCUCUAUGAGUUGUAAACUGCUUUUGUACAAGGGUAAACCUGAAUACGUGUAUUCAGCUGAAAGUACUGUACGAAUAAGGAUCGGCUAACUCCGUCCCAGCAGCCGCGGUAAUACGGAGGAUCCAAGCGUUAUCCGGAUUUUUUUGGUUUAAAGGGUGCGUAGGCGGAUUGAUAAGUUAGUGGUGAAAUGUCCGAGCUUAACUCGGGAACUGCCGCUAAUACUGUUGAUCUAGAGAGUAGAUGCGGUAGGCGGAAUGUAUGGUGUAGCGGUGAAAUGCUUAGAGAUCAUACAGAACACCGAUUGCGAAGGCAGCUUACCAAUCUAUAUCUGACGUUGAGGCACGAAAGCGUGGGGGGCAAACAGGAUUAGAUACCCCGGUAGUC